CAGCAGCCGCGGUAAUACGAGGGGGGCAAGCGUUGUUCGGAAUUAUUGGGCGUAAAGGGUGCGUAGGCGGCUUGACAAGUCUUGUGUGAAAUCUAUGGGCUCAACCCAUAGUCCGCACGGGAAACUGUCGGGCUUGAGAAUGGGAGAGGUGAGUGGAAUUUCCGGUGUAGCGGUGAAAUGCGUAGAUAUCGGAAGGAACACCUGUGGCGAAAGCGGCUCACUGGACCAUUUCUGACGCUGAUGCACGAAAGCUAGGGGAGCAAACAGGAUUAGAUACCCCCGUAGUCCCUGUCUCUUAUAC
This 301-nucleotide ribosomal RNA is filed under the name uncultured bacterium. RNAcentral describes it as "partial 16S ribosomal RNA". It matches the Rfam family "Bacterial small subunit ribosomal RNA", at positions 509 to 807 of the family's 1533-position model. The record is from RNAcentral.